GACGAACGCUGGCGGCGUGCUUAACACAUGCAAGUCGAACGGAAAGGCCCUGCUUUUGUGGGGUGCUCGAGUGGCGAACGGGUGAGUAACACGUGAGUAACCUGCCCUUGACUUUGGGAUAACUUCAGGAAACUGGGGCUAAUACCGGAUAGGAGCUCCUGCUGCAUGGUGGGGGUUGGAAAGUUUCGGCGGUUGGGGAUGGACUCGCGGCUUAUCAGCUUGUUGGUGGGGUAGUGGCUUACCAAGGCUUUGACGGGUAGCCGGCCUGAGAGGGUGACCGGCCACAUUGGGACUGAGAUACGGCCCAGACUCCUACGGGAGGCAGCAGUGGGGAAUAUUGCACGAUGGGCGGAAGCCUGAUGCAGCAACGCCGCGUGCGGGAUGACGGCCUUCGGGUUGUAAACCGCUUUCGCCUGUGACGAAGCGUGAGUGACGGUAAUGAGUAAAGAAGCACCGGCUAACUACGUG
Molecule: ribosomal RNA, 468 nt
Filed under: uncultured bacterium
Lineage: Bacteria
Description: partial 16S ribosomal RNA
Rfam family: Bacterial small subunit ribosomal RNA
Source: RNAcentral